ACCCUUUAAUGUUUGAUGUUCUAACGUGGACCCGUGAUCCGGGUUGCGGACAGUGUCUGGUGGGUAGUUUGACUGGGGCGGUCUCCUCCUAAAGAGUAACGGAGGAGCACGAAGGUUGGCUAAUCCUGGUCGGACAUCAGGAGGUUAGUGCAAUGGCAUAAGCCAGCUUGACUGCGAGCGUGACGGCGCGAGCAGGUGCGAAAGCAGGUCAUAGUGAUCCGGUGGUUCUGAAUGGAAGGGCCAUCGCUCAACGGAUAAAAGGUACUCCGGGGAUAACAGGCUGAUACCGCCCAAGAGUUCAUAUCGACGGCGGUGUUUGGCACCUCGAUGUCGGCUCAUCACAUCCUGGGGCUGAAGUAGGUCCCAAGGGUAUGGCUGUUCGCCAUUUAAAGUGGUACGCGAGCUGGGUUUAGAACGUCGUGAGACAGUUCGGUCCCUAUCUGCCGUGGGCGCUGGAGAACUGAGGGGGGCUGCUCCUAGUACGAGAGGACCGGAGUGGACGCAUCACUGGUGUUCGGGUUGUCAUGCCAAUGGCACUGCCCGGUAGCUAAAUGCGGAAGAGAUAAGUGCUGAAAGCAUCUAAGCACGAAACUUGCCCCGAGAUGAGUUCUCCCUGAGACUUAAAGUCUCCUGAAGGAACGUUGAAGACGACGACGUUGAUAGGCCGGGUGUGUAAGCGCAGCGAUGCGUUGAGCUAACCGGUACUAAUGAACCGUGAGGCUUAACCUUACAAC
Molecule: ribosomal RNA, 734 nt
Filed under: Salmonella enterica
Lineage: Bacteria; Pseudomonadati; Pseudomonadota; Gammaproteobacteria; Enterobacterales; Enterobacteriaceae
Also listed under: 1 other name
Description: partial 23S ribosomal RNA
Rfam family: Bacterial large subunit ribosomal RNA
Source: RNAcentral